RNAcentral lists this ribosomal RNA (868 nucleotides) under uncultured marine microorganism. Its description in RNAcentral is "bacterial SSU rRNA". It matches the Rfam family "Bacterial small subunit ribosomal RNA", at positions 636 to 1501 of the family's 1533-position model. The record is from RNAcentral.
GGAAACUAGAGUUCGGUAGGGGUAGCAGGAAUUCCCAGUGUAGCGGUGAAAUGCGUAGAUAUUGGGAAGAACAUCGGUGGCGAAGGCGUGCUACUGGACCGUAACUGACACUCAGGGACGAAAGCUAGGGGAGCGAAAGGGAUUAGAUACCCCUGUAGUCCUAGCUGUAAACGAUGGAAACUAGGUGUGGCUUGUAUCGACCCGAGCCGUGCCGUAGCUAACGCGUUAAGUUUCCCGCCUGGGGAGUACGCACGCAAGUGUGAAACUCAAAGGAAUUGACGGGGGCCCGCACAAGCGGUGGAGUAUGUGGUUUAAUUCGAUGCAACGCGAAGAACCUUACCAGGGCUUGACAUGUCGCGAAUCUCGGUGAAAGCUGAGAGUGCCUUCGGGAGCGCGAACACAGGUGGUGCAUGGCUGUCGUCAGCUCGUGUCGUGAGAUGUUGGGUUAAGUCCCGCAACGAGCGCAACCCUUAUUUUUAGUUGCCAGCAUUAAGAUGGGCACUCUAGAAAGACUGCCGGUGACAAACCGGAGGAAGGUGAGGACGACGUCAAGUCAGCAUGCCCCUUACGCCCUGGGCUACACACGUACUACAAUGGUUGGGACAAAGGGCAGCGACUCCGCAAGGAAUAGCGAAUCUCAUCAAACCCAGCCUCAGUUCAGAUUGCAGGCUGCAACUCGCCUGCAUGAAGGAGGAAUCGCUAGUAAUCGCAGGUCAGCAUACUGCGGUGAAUUCGUUCCCGGGCCUUGUACACACCGCCCGUCACACCAUGGAAGCUGGUCACGCCCGAAGUAGUUACCCUAACCUUUCGAGGAGGGGGAUUCCUAAGGCAGGGCUAGUGACUGGGGUGAAGUCGUAACAAGGUAACC